CUCGUGCUAUCUAAUUCGCUUUAUUUAGAGAAAAAAAUACAUGCUGAAUCUGAACCGAAACUGUGGUCAUUGCUCCGAUUUUUUUGGUUUCUUUUUAUGUUGCCGUCGGCCCACCUUAUCCAUUUGACCGCUUAUCCAUCUCUCCUCGUGCUUCAUUGGCGUCCAGCUGCGGCAAUGGCGACGACGGCGGCCAAGAACAGUUCGAUCGGGAGGUCCAUCUUGUCACAGGCCAAUUGUGGUGACGUGACUGACCAGGUAGUUUUUCGGCACGGCGGCCAUGGGAGAAAUAAGAUCGGAGGUGCACUCACUUCAGCGGAGCCAUGUUCUUGGCUCUUUUUCCGUUGAUGUUGAAUCCUGCUCCAAGUUCUCCAACCGCAAGUAGCUGCUUUUGAAGUCCACCAAUUAUAUGCCAGGUUAUGCCAAGAACCACCAUAGAUCUGGUUUGUGGCACGACAGGGUUGUAUCUCCUCGUACAGGGUGUAUGUCUUUGGAUGCAUUACGACGACGCCGCCGGCGGCCAUGUGCGGCGGAGCGGCCAUCGUGAAGUUUCAUGCAUGCCCGACGAGUGAUCCGACUCGCCCAAUCUCAUCUGCAGCUGCAGUGUCGUAGCCUUCCCUCGGGUCUGCUCUCUCCAAGUCUGAUACACGCCGUGGAAAUAUGACGUCAGAUUGAAGAACACAUGAAUCACCAUGGAUCUCCUAGCUACCGAUGGUGCCUGUUUGAUCCAUGGCUCCAUGCCCUAUAAGUGUGCAUGACAUUAAUUUGCUUGUACGUACGCAUGAGAAACAGUUGGCAGUUUCCUUUGCACCCAUAUAAUCGAGUCAUGUUUCUUAUUGUUGAGGACGUAUAUGUUCCCUGCAAAAAAUUGAUGAUGUAUAUGUACUCCUUCUGAUGCAUAUGAACUGAUUUUUUUCAUGAACUUACCUUUUAUUUCAGAUGGAUAUACUAAUUGUUCUCAGAAUGGAUGAAUGCAUAUAUGUAUACUCCUUUUGAUGCAGUAUAUAUACUUUUUUUUGGUAUACACUUCUUCAGAAAGAAACUGCAGCACACUCUUCCAAAAAAUGCAGUAUAUAAUUCUUAAACAAAUGGCAGUAUAUACUCUUUGAGUAUUUUGUUGGUAUAUACUCCUUCAAAAAAAAUGGCAGUAUAUACUCCUUCAAAAAAAAUGGCAGUAUAUACGCCUUCAAAAAAAUGGCAGUACAUACUCCUUGAAUUUUGUUGUUAUAUACUCCUUCAAAAAGUUCAGCAUACACUACUUAAAAG
Long non-coding RNA from Aegilops tauschii subsp. strangulata, 1263 nucleotides. RefSeq lists it as uncharacterized. Lineage: Eukaryota; Viridiplantae; Streptophyta; Magnoliopsida; Poales; Poaceae. The record is from RefSeq and is a predicted model, not a curated record.